RNAcentral lists this ribosomal RNA (447 nucleotides) under uncultured organism. Its description in RNAcentral is "partial 16S ribosomal RNA". It matches the Rfam family "Bacterial small subunit ribosomal RNA", at positions 333 to 797 of the family's 1533-position model. The record is from RNAcentral.
ACACUCCUGCGGGAGGCAGCAGUGGGGAAUAUUGGACAAUGGGCGCAAGCCUGAUCCAGCCAUGCCGCGUGAGUGAUGAAGGCCCUAGGGUUGUAAAGCUCUUUCACCGGUGAAGAUAAUGACGGUAACCGGAGAAGAAGCCCCGGCUAACUUCGUGCCAGCAGCCGCGGUAAUACGAAGGGGGCUAGCGUUGUUCGGAUUUACUGGGCGUAAAGCGCACGUAGGCGGACUAUUAAGUCAGGGGUGAAAUCCCGGGGCUCAACCCCGGAACUGCCUUUGAUACUGGUAGUCUUGAGUUCGAGAGAGGUGAGUGGAAUUCCGAGUGUAGAGGUGAAAUUCGUAGAUAUUCGGAGGAACACCAGUGGCGAAGGCGGCUCACUGGCUCGAUACUGACGCUGAGGUGCGAAAGCGUGGGGAGCAAUCAGGAUUAGAUACCCCUGUAGUCCC